AAGCUUGGUCCUGACUUUACUAUCAACUUUGGCCCUAAUUACACAUGCAAGUAUCCGCCCCCCCGUGAGAAUGCCCUAAAGCCCCCGCCAAGGGGCCAAGGAGCAGGUAUCAGGCACAAUAUAAUAUUAGCCCACGACACCUUGCUCAGCCACACCCCCAAGGGAUUUCAGCAGUGAUAAAAAUUAAGCUAUAAGUGUAAACUUGACUUAGUUAAGGCCAACCCGGGGCCGGUAAAACUCGUGCCAGCCACCGCGGUUAUACGAGAGGCCCAAGCUGAUAUGCCAUCGGCGUAAAGAGUGGUUAAUAAAUAACAAACUAAAGCUAAACACCUUCAAGGCCGUUAUACGCAAUCGAAAGUAGGAAAUAUAUCCACGAAAGUGGCUUUAAAACUAUGAAUCCACGAAAACUGGGACACAAACUGGGAUUAGAUACCCCACUAUGCCCAGCCCUAAACACAAAUGGCACCAAUACACCUGCCAUUCGCCCGGGUACUACAAGCACUAGCUCAAAACCCAAAGGACUUGGCGGUGCUUUAGAACCACCUAGAGGAGCCUGUUCUAUAACCGAUAAUCCCCGUUCAACCUCACCCCUUCUUGCCACUACCGCCUAUAUACCGCCGUCGUCAGCUUACCCUGUAAAGGUCAUAUAAUAAGCAAAAUUGGUAUAGCCCAACACGUCAGGUCGAGGUGUAGCACAUGAAGGGGAAAGAAAUGGGCUACACUCCCUGAGACAGGGGACACAAACGAUAACUUGAAAUAACUAUCUGAAGGUGGAUUUAGCAGUAAGGAAAAAUAGAACAUUUCCCUGAAACCGGCCCUGAAGCGCGCACACACCGCCCGUCACUCUCCCC
RNAcentral lists this non-coding RNA (851 nucleotides) under Odontobutis platycephala. RNAcentral's name for it is "partial 12S ribosomal RNA". It matches the Rfam family "Bacterial small subunit ribosomal RNA". The record is from RNAcentral. Lineage: Eukaryota; Metazoa; Chordata; Actinopteri; Gobiiformes; Odontobutidae.